GCCAGACUCCUACGGGAGGCAGCAGUGGGGGAUAUUGCACAAUGGGGGGAACCCUGAUGCAGCGACGCCGCGUGGGUGAAGGAGUAUUUCGGUAUGUAAAGCCCUAUCGGCAGGGAAGAAGCAAGACGGUACCUGACUAAGAAGCCCCGGCUAACUACGUGCCAGCAGCCGCGGUAAUACGUAUGGAGCAAGCGUUAUCCGGAUUUACUGGGUGUAAAGGGAGCGUAGGCGGCCUGCCAAGUCUGAUGUGAAAUACCGGGGCUCAACCCCGGGGCUGCAUUGGAAACUGACAGGCUGGAGUGUCGGAGAGGCAGGCGGAAUUCCUAGUGUAGCGGUGAAAUGCGUAGAUAUUAGGAGGAACACCAGUGGCGAAGGCGGCCUGCUGGACGAUGACUGACGCUGAGGCUCGAAAGCGUGGGGAGCAAACAGGAUUAGAUCCCCUUGUA
This 446-nucleotide ribosomal RNA is filed under the name uncultured bacterium. Its description in RNAcentral is "partial 16S ribosomal RNA". It matches the Rfam family "Bacterial small subunit ribosomal RNA", at positions 330 to 792 of the family's 1533-position model. The record is from RNAcentral.